Molecule: long non-coding RNA, 150 nt
Organism: Zea mays
Lineage: Eukaryota; Viridiplantae; Streptophyta; Magnoliopsida; Poales; Poaceae
Exons: 2
Source: RefSeq, a predicted model, not a curated record
GUACAAUCCGCAAGUGCAAGUGAGAAGCAAGGUAGAUCAACUUAAGAAGCUCUAUCAAAGUGUGUUUAAGGUUCCUUGUCGUCGUGAUAUCGUCGUCAGCCUAGCUAACCAUCGCUUGCAUCAAUGGAGGGGAUGGAGGGGUACACGAUG